Caenorhabditis elegans is the source of this 149-nucleotide non-coding RNA. Lineage: Eukaryota; Metazoa; Nematoda; Chromadorea; Rhabditida; Rhabditidae. The record is from Ensembl.
AAUGGAAAGAGUGGGGGGAAAACGAGGGGACUCUCUCCUUUCUCGUAUGUGCCCCACCACACCACUCAGCCUGUCUAUUUCGCCCCCCGGAGGCCACCGCCGCCGCCGCACUCGUUGUCGUCGUCGUCGUUGUCGUCUUCGUCGUUGUG